This 328-nucleotide ribosomal RNA is filed under the name uncultured eukaryote. RNAcentral describes it as "partial 18S ribosomal RNA". It matches the Rfam family "Eukaryotic small subunit ribosomal RNA", at positions 1470 to 1796 of the family's 1831-position model. The record is from RNAcentral.
CCCUUAGAUGUUCUGGGCCGCACGCGCGCUACACUGACUACUUCAACGAGUUGUUUCCUUGAUCGAAAGGUCUGGGUAAUCUUUGAAAGGUAGUCGUGAUGGGGAUAGAUCCUUGCAAUUUUUGAUCUUCAACGAGGAAUUCCUAGUAAACGCAAGUCAUCAGCUUGCAUUGAUUACGUCCCUGCCCUUUGUACACACCGCCCGUCGCACCUACCGAUUGAAUGGUCCGGUGAAUCUUUAGGACUGUGGCUGAGGCCUUGCCUUGUGCGGGUCCGGCCGUGGGAAUUUAGUUAAACCUUACCAUUUAGAGGAAGGUGAAGUCGUAACA